RNAcentral lists this ribosomal RNA (511 nucleotides) under Weissella confusa. RNAcentral describes it as "bacterial SSU rRNA". It matches the Rfam family "Bacterial small subunit ribosomal RNA", at positions 54 to 521 of the family's 1533-position model. The record is from RNAcentral. Lineage: Bacteria; Bacillati; Bacillota; Bacilli; Lactobacillales; Lactobacillaceae.
CNUGCAGUCGACGCUUUGUGGUUCAACUGAUUUGAAGAGCUUGCUCAGAUAUGACGAUGGACAUUGCAAAGAGUGGCGAACGGGUGAGUAACACGUGGGAAACCUACCUCUUAGCAGGGGAUAACAUUUGGAAACAGAUGCUAAUACCGUAUAACAAUGACAACCGCAUGGUUGUUAUUUAAAAGAUGGUUCUGCUAUCACUAAGAGAUGGUCCCGCGGUGCAUUAGCUAGUUGGUAAGGUAAUGGCUUACCAAGGCGAUGAUGCAUAGCCGAGUUGAGAGACUGAUCGGCCACAAUGGGACUGAGACACGGCCCAUACUCCUACGGGAGGCAGCAGUAGGGAAUCUUCCACAAUGGGCGAAAGCCUGAUGGAGCAACGCCGCGUGUGUGAUGAAGGGUUUCGGCUCGUAAAACACUGUUGUAAGAGAAGAAUGACAUUGAGAGUAACUGUUCAAUGUGUGACGGUAUCUUACCAGAAAGGAACGGCUAAAUACGUGCCAGCAGCCGCGGU